RNAcentral lists this ribosomal RNA (253 nucleotides) under uncultured bacterium. RNAcentral describes it as "partial 16S ribosomal RNA". It matches the Rfam family "Bacterial small subunit ribosomal RNA", at positions 524 to 776 of the family's 1533-position model. The record is from RNAcentral.
GACGGAAGGUGCAAGCGUUGCUCGGAAUCACUGGGCGUAAAGGGUGCGUAGGCGGCCGCGCAAGUCUGGCGUGAAAGCCCCGGGCUCAGCCCGGGAAGGGCGCUCGAAACGGCGCGGCUCGAGUGCCGGAGGGGAGAGUGGAAUUCCUGGUGUAGCGGUGAAAUGCGUAGAUAUCAGGAGGAACACCAGUGGCGAAGGCGGCGACCUGGGCCAAUACUGACGCUGAGGUGCGAAAGCGUGGGGAGCAAACAGG